CCUACGGGUGGCUGCAGUGGGGAAUAUUGGACAAUGGGGGCAACCCUGAUCCAGCCAUGCCGCGUGUGUGAAGAAGGCCCUCGGGUUGUAAAGCACUUUCAGUGAGGAAGAACGCCUGGUGGUUAAUACCCAUCAGGAAAGACAUCACUCACAGAAGAAGCACCGGCUAACUCCGUGCCAGCAGCCGCGGUAAUACGGAGGGUGCGAGCGUUAAUCGGAAUUACUGGGCGUAAAGCGCGCGUAGGUGGCUUGAUAAGCCGGUUGUGAAAGCCCCGGGCUCAACUUGGGAACGGCAUCCGGAACUGUCAAGCUAGAGUGCAGGAGAGGAAGGUAGAAUUCCCGGUGUAGCGGUGAAAUGCGUAGAGAUCGGGAGGAAUACCAGUGGCGAAGGCGGCCUUCUGGACUGACACUGACACUGAGGUGCGAAAGCGUGGGUAGCAAACAGGAUUAGAUACCCGAGUAGUC
Molecule: ribosomal RNA, 465 nt
Filed under: Vreelandella stevensii
Lineage: Bacteria; Pseudomonadati; Pseudomonadota; Gammaproteobacteria; Oceanospirillales; Halomonadaceae
Description: partial 16S ribosomal RNA
Rfam family: Bacterial small subunit ribosomal RNA
Source: RNAcentral